RNAcentral lists this long non-coding RNA (5034 nucleotides) under Homo sapiens (human). RNAcentral describes it as "HSALNT0336787". The record is from RNAcentral. Lineage: Eukaryota; Metazoa; Chordata; Mammalia; Primates; Hominidae.
GAAUUUACUGUAAUAGAGAUAGAAAAACACAGAUAUGGUGGUUGACACAGUCCUAAAAAAUGGAGUCAUGGAGGUAAGUACAUACUGCUCUUUGGAGAAACAUGGUUGUAAGGUGAACGAAAAACUAAGGUGUACACUAGAAGGAAACAGAGCGACAAAAUAGGAGAUGCUGAAAGAAAAAGAGAAGUUGAAAUACAGAAGAGAAGAGACGCAAUGUAAGCUUCCCAAAGAAAUGAGAAGAUGUGAUUCAAAGAACAGAUGGUAGGUUUAACAUUUGAAAUGUAGGACAACAAUUUAGCUAAAAUAGAAAGGGAAGAGGUAAGGCUGGCUCUGACUAUAUUUACACUUGUUUGUGUUUUGGGGAGAGAAAGGAAGUGGAGAACGUUCUUGCAAGAUGAUCUGUAUUUUCUCUCUAAAGCAGAGUUCAUUUGCUGAGAAUGAUGGAGAAAAUCAGCAUCUAGCUAAUCAGCUGACCAUGAGAUGCAGAGAUUAUCUGGAAUUAUCCAGAUUGGUCCAUUUAAUUACAUGAGUCCUUAAAAGUGGAAAGUGGAAGAAGAGGCAGAAGAGUGUGUCAGAGAGAUGCUGUGUGAAAAGGACUCAACCUGCCACUUGAGGCUUUGAGGCUGGAGAAAGGGGCCAUGAACCAAGGAUUGUGAGCAGCCUGUAAAAUCUGGAAAAGACAAGGCAAUACCCUUUGCUGUCUCAGGGUCAAACAUGCAACUCCUGCCUGCUUGUAUGGCCAGCUGGGUUCAAGAAGGAAGGAACCUCAUUGUUGACAGUUACCAGAUGAAUGUGCCCCUUCUGUACAGCUAAGAAAUGGAAUAGACAUUGGUAACCUUCCACAGGCCCACACAUGUGUUAUCAGCCAUACCUUAGGACAGAAGGAAUGAGUUUGCAGAAAGGAUGCUCUUCAGAACUCAUGAAGACAUAAGGUGCUUCAAAAGAGGAGACUUUCGGAACAUGAGCAGGGAAAUUGUCACUUGAUAGAUGACAAGCAUUGUGAGAAACAACAGUUUGCCUUUCUUCAUUCCCUUCCUGGUUAUCUUUCCUGUCACAUGAAGAAGAAAUGAAACACCAGAGAGAAUCAGGUUAUCAUCAUCUACACCAGCCACUGUCACUGACAACUCCAGGAAGGAAAUUGGUAGACUCAACGUCCAGGGAACCUACGAAUCUGCUAUCCCAAGCCUUCUGCCCCCAAACACUUCACCCUGAAAUACAGCCCAGAGCAUGCACUCAGUGAGUCCCACUGAAGAAGAGACGGAAGGCAGAACUGAACAAGAUGUGUCCAGAAGAGGUAGCCAUAGAUCAUGGACAUGACCAAAAGAAGCUUACUUUAUUUUCAACCCUACAACCAUACUGAGAAUUUAGCCCUGGGGACAUCUUCCGAUAUAAUCUGGCAUAGAAGAGUGGUUAUCACACCUUUAGCAUGGAUAGAAAUGCAAAACAAUAUUUGUAAUAGUCUGUGCUCACGCUGCUAUAAGGACAUACCCAAGACUAGGAAAGAGCCACAGAUUUGCUUCUUCCUAGCAAGGGCGUGAUACUAAUUCCAGAUCCAUCCAAAUAUUGUUCACUGCUUCUUAGACAGAGACCCCUUUCUCCCAGGACCCUUGAGACACCUUUGCUGUGAAUAAUGGAGAAGCAAAAGGAGUUACUAAUGAAGACAAACUAAACCUGAGAACAGAGAGAGCCUAACUAUGUGCUCCAGAAGUGCCAUGUGUGUCUAAGGUAGGUCCAAAGGUAUGAGUCUAGAGAUAUUAUGUAUAAAACACCUAAUUGAAUGUCAAAAAAUCCAUAGAAGCUUAAUAAUUGGUAGCAAUUAUUAUUACUCAUUAGUGUGGGGGCUGGGAAGAUGACAACAGAGUAUAACUUGGAGGGUUGGUGUAGAGCAAUUAGCUAGCAACUGUAGUUUGAAUUUCCAUGAAGUAGUUCCCUUAAUUGUGUACACACAAACACAUCAAAACUGAAACCACAGCUAUGUGAUUUAAUAAUGUUGCACGUUUAGACAUGAUACAAGGCACUUUUGCCUACAUUAUCUUUCUGUGAGUUUAACAUUAGACCUGGUAUAAUUAUCCUAAAUUUACUACUAGAGAAUUUAGUUUGAAAAGUCAUGCAACUUUUCUAAAGAAUUUUUUCUGAUUUAAUAACACCAAUCAAUGAAUUAAUCAAUCAACUGUUCUGGCCAUUAAAUGUGUGAGAAAAAAAAGUCAGUGUAUUAAUUAUAAUUAUAUACCGAGACUUGGCUCUGUGUGUUUCACAAAAUAAGUAUAAAGUAUCAAAUUUGUUAUAAAUGUGUGACCCAUUAAAAGAAAAAAAAACUUGAUAGAUGUGUAUUUGGUAACAGCUUUUUAGAAAAUUUUUUGAACAUUUAUGAUGUUCAGAAAAGAACAGUGAUCAGUGUGCUAAAUUAAAUUACUUGAAUAAAUUAUGGAGAAAAAGUUCUGAUUUUUGUGCAAGGUUUGCAUUCUGGAUUGAGGUCCAGUUCUUUUUGAAGUAUCUGAAAUCAAACAUAUAUUUCCAAACCCUGAGGACUGAUUUCCUUCUGAAGACCACCCUCUCUUCUAUUUGAGGAACUCCAUAUUCCUUCUUGUAACACUACUCUGAUUCUAUAUCAAGCAAUCUUGGCCUUGUUAAGAUAAGAAAGUUGCCUUAAGCACUUUCCAAAGCUUUCCUACAUUCACUGUUGGUGGAUGGUGUCCCUACCCUACUUGUUCCCCUGCAGAACCUCAGAUUGGAGAUAUAAGGGGUGAAAUAACAGCCAAGUACCUCAGAGCUAAGUACUUUACAUAUAACUCAUUUAAUCCUCACAGCAUUGCUAUGGAACAAGUACUAUUAUUCAUCCCAGUUUACAGAUAGAAACUAAGGCAGAGAAAGGUUAAAUAAUCAAAGUUUACCUACUAGAUAACAGAGUGGGGGUAGAAACCAAGCCAUUCUGGCUUUUCCUGCUUGUAACACCAGGGUGGUAAAGGUGAAAAUUUGGGUUCAUUCUCACAGAGAAGAGGUUAUUAAGGCUCAGACUGGACAGAUAGCAUGGGAAUGAUGAGCAAGCAGGAAAUUUAAGAGUCAGAUCUUAGAAAAAUAUGACAAAGCCUAGAGACUGGCAACUGACAUGAUCUGAGAAAAGUGAGGAGGCCAGUGUUCCUUGUUUGGAAACAGGAGGAAUAAUGGGACCACUGGUUGAAAUGGAGUGCAAAUGUCUUAUAAGAAAAGGAAAAAAAUGACACCAACUUGACCCUCAAGUAUAUUUUGAGUAUAUUCUAUUUCUCUUUUCAUUAGAAGAAAUUUAAUUUGAGAAAUGAAUAGAGAAAGAAAGGGGAAAGGAGAAUGUUUCAAAGAAUAAGGUUAAAGUCAUCACAGCUUGACAGCAAUCUAAAAGUCAAAAAGUAUGCCAGAAUAGCAGGUAUUUGAGACCCACUGUUCGAAACAAUUUUAUUUUAAACACAUGUGGUUCCUUAAUGAUACUGGUAGCAUGGUGGUUGUGCAGCCCGCCUUUAGCAGGAAGUGCUGAUUUGCUUAAUUCUAUUAAGCCUAUAAGAAAGGUAAAUCUGUCUCCUGAACUUAAGGGGCCUCUGCUCUAAAGUAAGUUUGACAUUGGCCAAUAAUCACCCUGACAUUCUUGUGGCUUUGGCUGCUCUUGAAGCUGCUGAAUUGCACCAAGAGAAGAGGCUGAGUGAGAAAGCCUGGUUAUAGCAAUGGCCCAUCCUGUCAGUGCUGGGAGUGGGUACUAUACUCAAAGCAGUAUAAAUACAGAUGCUGCACAUUAUGCUCUGCUAUGCUGGCUGCCUUUGGGAUGAUUGUUGGGAAAGUUCUUGAAGCCAGUGGUGUUAGAGGGGACAGUGUGCUUCUUGAAACAAAAGAGUUGAUGGUGAGAAUGGUCUUUGAAAACUGUACUCUUUACAAAGGUGAACUCUGCAAACUGGGCCUACUGAAAGAAAUAGGGAUUCUAUUUUCAUUACUGUUUUAUCAUCAAAAUACCAUAAGGCCUGGCCCUUAGCAAAUAGUCCUUAAAUAUCUGAUACCAUUAGAAGCUUGCUUCUAUGAAGGGUGAUCACCCAUCCCAGUUUGCGUGGGACAGUCUUAGUUUACAUUAUUGUCCUUGCAUCCUGUUCAGCUGGUAUAUAUCCAAGUCUCUUAAUUUUUAUUCAAGUAUUAUUAUUAAUAGUUGUACAAAAAUAAGUCAGAAUAAGUUUGGUAGACCUCUACUUUAUUUCCAGCUUCUGUCAUUUUCUUCCUGGUAGUAGGUAUGAGACAUAUAUACAUGGAAAGAUAAUCAGCAGUAGCCUAUCUCUCUCCCUUUAAUUUUUUAAAGAACUUUCCAGAUUCAAGAAUGGACAAGGCACUCAGUUAUGAGCAACAAAUUCCUUUUGUCUUGGAGAUCAUGGAAGAAGUAUUAGAUGCUGCUCCCCUUAGUGUAACAGCCAGUUUUGUUGCAGCCUGUGGGGCCUGCAAGCUACACAAAACCACCAGGAUCCUAGAAGAGUCACUAGGAAACGUAGAGUAUUAUAGCUAGAUAAACAUCAUCACAUAUGUGUAAAAGAUAGAGACUGAACAGUCCAGUCUUAAAAUGUAUAGCAAAGUAGUUUGAAUGCUCUUGUUACAGUGAUUUUGUCAUCUACCAAUUUUAAGUGUGUAGUGAUUUAUCUAUCACAUUAUUUGGCAAUACUUUCUGAAUUUUGCAAUACAUGCAACAAUGACCUAAAAAAUGAAAGUGCAUGUUUAAUUUAAAAAUUAAAAGUAAAGCCAGGCGCAGUGGCUCACACCUGUAAUCCCAGCACUUUGGGAGGCUGAGGCGGGCGGAUUACCUGAGGUCGGGAGUUCAAGACCAGCCUGACCAACAUGGAGAAACCCUGUCUCUACUAAAAAUACAAAAUUGACUGGGCGUGGUGGUGCAUGCCUGUGGUCCCAGCUACUUGGGAGGCCGAAGCAGGAGAAUUGCUUGAACCUGGGAGGCGGAUGUUGCGGUGAGUGGAGAUCGCGCCAUUGCACUCCAGCCUGGGCAACAAGAGCAAAACUCUGUCUCAAAAAAAAAAAAAAAAA